This 253-nucleotide ribosomal RNA is filed under the name uncultured bacterium. RNAcentral describes it as "partial 16S ribosomal RNA". It matches the Rfam family "Bacterial small subunit ribosomal RNA", at positions 524 to 776 of the family's 1533-position model. The record is from RNAcentral.
UACGAAGGGGGCGAGCGUUGUUCGGAUUUACUGGGCGUAAAGGGCGCGCAGGCGGCCGGCCAAGUCAGGCGUGAAAGCCCCGGGCUUAACCUGGGAAUUGCGUCUGGGACUGGUUGGCUAGAGAUCGGGAGAGGAGAGUGGAAUUCCCGGUGUAGCAGUGAAACGCGUAGAGAUCGGGAGGAACAUCUGUGGCGAAGGCGACUACCUGGACCAGCACUGACACUGAGGCACGAAAGCGUGGGGAGCAAACAGG